This is a long non-coding RNA of Girardinichthys multiradiatus, 450 nucleotides long. RefSeq lists it as uncharacterized. The record is from RefSeq and is a predicted model, not a curated record. The transcript has 4 exons. NCBI's taxonomy places the organism in Eukaryota, Metazoa, Chordata, Actinopteri, Cyprinodontiformes, Goodeidae.
CUGUAAUCACUUCUGCAGUGUUUGGUUGACCUUCGAAACCUGGGGUUCCGUGUGCGCAUGUAGAUCUUAAGAUAAAUGCUUGAUAUUAAACUUGUUUCACCUUCACAUUCACUUCGUGUCGUUCCUUAUAUCUCCGGCUGUUCCUAAUGCUUUCUCCAUGCAGAGACGUUUUCUACUGGGAAACAACGCGAGAAGCUCUGUCAGUGUGCCCAUCCACAGGCCGUGAGUCAUCCUCUCUCCGCUUACACGGGCUGACUUCACCUGAGGUGAGGCAGUAAGACCCUCACCUUCUCCAAACAGCCUCAGGUGCCCUGGCAUCUACAUGCCGUCUAGACAGGAAUGACCCGAGCUUAACCAGACAGACGUAAAAUGAAGGAAAGGAAAAACAAACUGCAUGAUGAAUCCAGAUCACGUGGUUUGGGAAUAAAUAAAAGUUGCUAUGAAAGAGUU